GCCACCCUUUGGGGUCGCCUUGGUGGCACCUUGGUGGACCUUGGGGACAUCUUGGAGACAUCCUUGGUGGCACCUCGGUGACACCUUGGUGGCACCUUGGGGACAGUCAUGGGUGUUGUGCCACCCCCCUUGGGGACACCUUGGUGGCACCUUGGGGACAGUCAUGGGUGUUGUGCCACCCCCCUUGGGGACACCUUGGUGGCACCUUGGGGACACUUUGGGGACACCGUUGGAGGGAAUGUCGUGCCUUGGUGGCACUUUGGGGACAUCUUGUGCCACCACCCCCUUGGUGGCACCUUGGGGACACCUUAGGGACACUGUGGAGGGGACGUCGUGACUUGGUGGCACCUUGGGGACGUCGUGCCACCAUCCCCUUGGGGACACCUUGGUGGCACCUUGGGGACAGUCAUGGGUGUUGUGCCACCCCCCUUGGGGACACCUUGGUGGCACCUUGGGGACACUUUGGGGACCUCUUGGGGACACUGUGCGAUGUGGAGGGGACGUCGUGCCUUGGUGGCACCUUAGGGACAAUCAUGGACAUCGUGCCACCUCCUUGGUGACACCUUGGUGGCACCUUGGGGACAUCUUGAGGACAUCGUUGUGCCACCUUUGGGGACACCUUGGUGGCACCUUGGGGACAUCAUUGUGCCACCUUUGGGGACACCUAGAGGACACCUUGGUGGCACCUUGGGGACAAUCAUGGACAUCAUUGUGCCACCUCCUUGGGGACAGCUUGGGGACAUCGUCGUGCCACCUUUGGGGACACCUUUGGGGACACCUUGGUGACAUCGUGCCACCUCCUUGCGGACACCUUGGGGACAAUCAUGGACGCCGUGCCACCUCCUUGGUGACACCUUGGGGACAUUUUGGGGACACGGUGCCACCCCCUUGGGGACACUUUGGGGACAAUCACGGAUGUGACGCCGCCUCUUUGGGGACACUUUGGUGGCACUUUGGGGACGUGGUCGUGUCACCCUUGGGGCCACGAUGGCCUUGGGGACAAUGGGGACAUUGUGCCACCCCCGGGUGUCACUUUGGGGUCACUGGGGGGCAUUAAAGGUCCUGGGGACACUUUGGGGACAUCGUGUGCUGCUUGGGGA
This 1100-nucleotide long non-coding RNA is filed under the name Chrysolophus pictus (golden pheasant). RNAcentral's name for it is "lncRNA (ENSCPIG00010011511.1)". Lineage: Eukaryota; Metazoa; Chordata; Aves; Galliformes; Phasianidae. The record is from RNAcentral.